This 315-nucleotide unclassified non-coding RNA is filed under the name plant metagenome. RNAcentral's name for it is "partial contains 5.8S ribosomal RNA, internal transcribed spacer 2, and large subunit ribosomal RNA". The stretch from base 1 to 105 matches the Rfam family "5.8S ribosomal RNA", at positions 50 to 154 of the family's 154-position model. The record is from RNAcentral.
GAAAUGCGAUAAGUAAUGUGAAUUGCAGAAUUCCGUGAAUCAUCGAAUCUUUGAACGCACAUUGCGCCCCCUGGCAUUCCGGGGGGCAUGCCUGUCCGAGCGUCAUUUCUGCCCUCAAGCGCGGCUUGUGUGUUGGGUGUGGUCCCCCCGGUGUUGGGGGGACCUGCCCGAAAGGCAGCGGCGACGUCCCGUCUAGGUCCUCGAGCGUAUGGGGCUUUGUCACCCGCUCGUGAGGGGCCUGCGGGCGUUGGCCACCCACGAUAUUUUUUUACCGUUGACCUCGGAUCAGGUAGGAGUUACCCGCUGAACUUAAGC